This 253-nucleotide ribosomal RNA is filed under the name uncultured bacterium. RNAcentral describes it as "partial 16S ribosomal RNA". It matches the Rfam family "Bacterial small subunit ribosomal RNA", at positions 524 to 776 of the family's 1533-position model. The record is from RNAcentral.
UACGGGGGGGGCAAGCGUUGUUCGGAAUUACUGGGCGUAAAGGGCUCGUAGGCGGCCAACUAAGUCGGAUGUGAAAUCCCCAGGCUUAACCUGGGAACUGCAUCCGAUACUGCGGGUCUCGAGUCCGGGAGAGGUGAGUGGAAUUCCUAGUGUAGAGGUGAAAUUCGUAGAUAUUGGGAAGAACACCGGUGGCGAAGGCGGCUCACUGGCUCGUUUCUGACGCUCAGGCGCGACAGCGUGGGGAUCAAACAGG